UACGUAGGGCGCAAGCGUUGUUCGGAAUUACUGGGCGUAAAGCGCGUGUAGGCGGGUCUUUAAGUCAGGGGUGAAAUGCCAAGGCUCAACCUUGGAACUGCCUUUGAUACUGGAGACCUUGAGUCCGGGAGAGGUGAGUGGAAUUGCGAGUGUAGAGGUGAAAUUCGUAGAUAUUCGCAAGAACACCAGUGGCGAAGGCGGCUCACUGGCCCGGAACUGACGCUGAGACGCGAAAGCGUGGGGAGCAAACAGG
This 253-nucleotide ribosomal RNA is filed under the name uncultured bacterium. Its description in RNAcentral is "partial 16S ribosomal RNA". It matches the Rfam family "Bacterial small subunit ribosomal RNA", at positions 524 to 776 of the family's 1533-position model. The record is from RNAcentral.